Molecule: long non-coding RNA, 571 nt
Organism: Gadus macrocephalus (Pacific cod)
Lineage: Eukaryota; Metazoa; Chordata; Actinopteri; Gadiformes; Gadidae
Exons: 4
Source: RefSeq, a predicted model, not a curated record
AAGAAACAGAAAAAGGCAUUUUGUCCUUGCAUGACGAGUUUGAGACAAUAAGUAUUCAGCUAGUGUCAACAUUGCUGAUGGAUGAUGGAUAUCUGACAUGGUGACAUUAAGGGAGGACAAAGGACGGAGAGCAAAUGGGAGGGGUUAAAGCUGAGCUAUAAAGGUGGUGAGCUCUCACCGACCCUACCACCUCUGUUCCAGACAACCCAUCCACACACAGCUCCACCGAUCAUCCUUAACCAGAGAAAUAUGCAAGAUCCAACUCCCAUGGAAGCCGGUCUCGCCAUUCUAUAUGGCACAUUUGUGAACUAUGCAAGCGGUGAAGGUGACAAUGAUCCCACAACAAUUAGCAAGAAGGAAUUGGCAAAGCUGUUGGAAGAACAACUGCCUCACCUUGGCGGGAAGGAAAUGCUUGAUUGCCUGAUGAAGAACCUAGACGCAGACAAGGACGGCACCUUGAACUUCAUGGAGUACUGCGCCAUGGUCACAACUCUGUCCAUGUGCCUACACAUGGCUUGUAAAUAAGACAUCAAUCUACUCAAUAAAAUGACAUUCAGUGUCGUUGUACUUA